UAUGGAACACACUAAAGACAAGAUUAAACCUCUGGAAAAACAGCUUACCUUUACCAAGGCCCCAGCGCCCAGCUUUAUACUUUUCAACUUUAUUUUGAAAACGAGGCCAUCUCAUGGGACAGAGACGGUGAUAUGGAUGGUACUUGAGGGUUUGUGUUUAAGUGCCUGGUGGUUCCAGGCCACAUCUGCUACCACACGUGGUUCUAGACCCUGGCUACACAGGUUCUGGGACAUGGUGUUG
This 241-nucleotide long non-coding RNA is filed under the name Homo sapiens (human). RNAcentral's name for it is "HSALNT0250010". Lineage: Eukaryota; Metazoa; Chordata; Mammalia; Primates; Hominidae. The record is from RNAcentral.